This is a long non-coding RNA of Myxocyprinus asiaticus (Chinese sucker), 1201 nucleotides long. RefSeq lists it as uncharacterized. Lineage: Eukaryota; Metazoa; Chordata; Actinopteri; Cypriniformes; Catostomidae. The record is from RefSeq and is a predicted model, not a curated record. The transcript has 2 exons.
ACGUGAGACGAGAGUGUCAUAAAAGCGACACAAAAUGACAUGGUUACUUCAGUAAAUGUGCGUUUCAUGUCAAAUUUGUUUUUAAAACACUAUCAAUUAGGUUUAGGUGUUGGUUAAGGGUAAGGAUAUCUGUUUUGUUCACCUCUCAUUUAUCUUUUUGAACACUAUUGGUUAGGUUUAGAUGUUGGUAAAGGGUAAGGAUAUCUGUUUUGUUCACCUCUCAUUUAUCUUUUUGAACACUAUUGGUUAGGUUUAGAUGUUGGUAAAGGGUAAGGAUAUCUGUUUUGUUCACCUCUCAUUUAUCUUUUUGAACACUAUCGAUUAGGUUUAGGUGUUGGUAAAGGGUAAGGAUAUCUGUUUUGUUCACCUUUCAUUUAUCUUUUUGAACACUAUUGGUUAGGUUUAGGUGUUGGUAAAGGGUAAGGAUAUCUGUUUUGUUCACCUUUCAUUUAUCUUUUUGAACACUAUUGGUUAGGUUUAGGUGUUGGUAAAGGGUAAGGAUAUCUGUUUUGUUCACCUUUCAUUUAUCUUUUUGAACACUAUUGGUUAGGUUUAGGUGUUGGUAAAGGGUAAGGAUAUCUGUUUUGUUCACCUUUCAUUUAUCUUUUUGAACACUAUUGGUUAGGUUUAGGUGUUGGUAAAGGGUAAGGAUAUCUGUUUUGUUCACCUUUCAUUUAUCUUUUUGAACACUAUUGGUUAGGUUUAGGUGUUGGUAAAGGGUAAGGAUAUCUGUUUUGUUCACCUCUCAUUUAUCUUUUUGAACACUAUCGAUUAGGUUUAGGUGUUGGUAAAGGGUAAGGAUAUCUGUUUUGUUCACCUUUCAUUUAUCUUUUUGAACACUAUUGGUUAGGUUUAGGUGUUGGUAAAGGGUAAGGAUAUCUGUUUUGUUCACCUUUCAUUUAUCUUUUUGAACACUAUUGGUUAGGUUUAGGUGUUGGUAAAGGGUAAGGAUAUCUGUUUUGUUCACCUCUCAUUUAUCUUUUUGAACACUAUCGAUUAGGUUUAGGUUAACCUGUUUUUUUUUUUUACAUUAAAAGUAAUGAUAUAAAAGUAUAAUCAGAUUACACCCAACACUGAUAAUGAACUAGACCUUUACACAAUUUCCAAAAUGCAGACUUUUGGAAAUAUGACCACUUACUACAUUAUAUUAUCAAAAUGAUAAAAGUUGAUUUAAAAAUUUGUAAAUAAAAAAUGUGCAAUA